ACUCAGGCGGUACGAGGAGUGGGCGGUGCGUCUCGAUUAGGUAGUUGGUAUGGGUAACGGCCUACCAAGCCUGCGAUCAGUAGCUGGCGUGAGAGCGCGACCAGCCACACUGGAACUGAGACACGGUCCAGACUCCUACGGGAGGCAGCAGUAGGGAAUAUUGGGCAAUGGGCGCAAGCCUGACCCAGCCAUGCCGCGUGAAGGAUUAAGGCCCUCUGGGUUGUAAACUUCUUUUAUCAGGGAAGAAACCUCUCGAUUCAUCGAGAGCUGACGGUACCUGAGGAAUAAGCACCGGCUAACUCCGUG
This 306-nucleotide ribosomal RNA is filed under the name uncultured bacterium. Its description in RNAcentral is "bacterial SSU rRNA". It matches the Rfam family "Bacterial small subunit ribosomal RNA", at positions 202 to 507 of the family's 1533-position model. The record is from RNAcentral.